UACGUAGGUGGCAAGCGUUGUCCGGAUUUACUGGGCGUAAAGAGCGCGCAGGCGGUCGUUCAAGUCGCGUGUGAAAGCCCCCGGCUCAACUGGGGAGGGUCACGCGAUACUGAUCGACUCGAAGGCAGGAGAGGGUAGUGGAAUUCCCGGUGUAGUGGUGAAAUGCGUAGAUAUCAGGAGGAACACCGGUGGCGAAGGCGGGUCUCUGGGCAGUAACUGACGCUGAGGAGCGAAAGCGUGGGGAGCGAACAGG
RNAcentral lists this ribosomal RNA (253 nucleotides) under uncultured bacterium. RNAcentral's name for it is "partial 16S ribosomal RNA". It matches the Rfam family "Bacterial small subunit ribosomal RNA", at positions 524 to 776 of the family's 1533-position model. The record is from RNAcentral.